Molecule: ribosomal RNA, 467 nt
Filed under: uncultured bacterium
Lineage: Bacteria
Description: partial 16S ribosomal RNA
Rfam family: Bacterial small subunit ribosomal RNA
Source: RNAcentral
GAUGAACGCUGACAGAAUGCUUAACACAUGCAAGUCAACUUGAAUUUGGGUUUUUAACUUAGGUUUGGGUGGCGGACGGGUGAGUAACGCGUAAAGAACUUGCCUCACAGCUAGGGACAACAUUUGGAAGCGAAUGCUAAUACCUAAUAUUAUGAUAAUAGGGCAUCCUAUAAUUAUGAAAGCUAUAAGCGCUGUGAGAGAGCUUUGCGUCCCAUUAGCUAGUUGGAGAGGUAACGGCUCACCAAGGCGAUGAUGGGUAGCCGGCCUGAGAGGGUGAUCGGCCACAAGGGGACAGAGACACGGCCCUUACUCCUACGGGAGGCAGCAGUGGGGAAUAUUGGACAAUGGACCGAGAGUCUGAUCCAGCAAUUCUGUGUGCACGAUGAAGUUUUUCGGAAUGUAAAGUGCUUUCAGUUGGGAAGAAACAAAUGACGGUACCAACAGAAGAAGUGACGGCUAAAUACGUG